Molecule: ribosomal RNA, 378 nt
Filed under: Exiguobacterium sp. '9.3 MW-7'
Lineage: Bacteria; Bacillati; Bacillota; Bacilli; Caryophanales
Description: bacterial SSU rRNA
Rfam family: Bacterial small subunit ribosomal RNA
Source: RNAcentral
UGGAAUGCCGUCUGAACCCUUCGGGGGGACGACGGUGGAAUGAGCGGCGGACGGGUGAGUAACACGUAAAGAACCUGCCCAUAGGUCUGGGAUAACCACGAGAAAUCGGGGCUAAUACCGGAUGUGUCAUCGGACCGCAUGGUCCGCUGAUGAAAGGCGCUCCGGCGUCGCCCAUGGAUGGCUUUGCGGUGCAUUAGCUAGUUGGUGGGGUAACGGCCCACCAAGGCGACGAUGCAUAGCCGACCUGAGAGGGUGAUCGGCCACACUGGGACUGAGACACGGCCCAGACUCCUACGGGAGGCAGCAGUAGGGAAUCUUCCACAAUGGACGAAAGUCUGAUGGAGCAACGCCGCGUGAACGAUGAAGGCUUUCGGGUCG